This 370-nucleotide ribosomal RNA is filed under the name uncultured organism. Its description in RNAcentral is "bacterial SSU rRNA". It matches the Rfam family "Bacterial small subunit ribosomal RNA", at positions 526 to 896 of the family's 1533-position model. The record is from RNAcentral.
CGUAGGCAGCAAGCGUUGUUCGGAGUUACUGGGCGUAAAGAGUGCGUAGGCGGUCCCUUAAGUUUGGUGUGAAAUCUCCCGGCUCAACUGGGAGGGUGCGCCGAAAACUGGGGGGCUUGAGUGUCGGAGAGGUACGCGGAAUUCCUGGUGUAGCGGUGAAAUGCGUAGAUAUCAGGAGGAACACCUGUGGUGUAGACAGCGUACUGGACGAUAACUGACGCUGAGGCACGAAAGCGUGGGUAGCAAACAGGAUUAGAUACCCUGGUAGUCCACGCCCUAAACGAUGCAUACUUGGUGUGGGCCAUUCAUUUGGUCUGUGCCGGAGCUAACGCGUUAAGUAUGCCGCCUGGGGAGUACGGUCGCAAGGCUG